AGAGCCCGACCCAGCGGCGGCGGGAGGAGGGGAGUGCGUUUUCAUCACCCCAAGUUGGCCAAGCUCCGUGCCAGGUUUCAUCUUACUUCAUUCUGAUUAUCGACAUCUCACUGCCGAGGAAACAGACUUGCAGACACCGAUGAGAAAACUUAGGAGCCAGCUGGGGAGGGAGGACUGGCCCAAAGUCACAGUCAACAGGAGGAAGCGGCGCGCGCCUAGCUACGCAAAACCGCAGGAUGGAAAAACGCAGAGCAGAACGCACCCUGACCUGGCAGAGCAUCUGUAGUGGAGAGAAUGGGAUUUUAGAGGAACGCUGAAAAUAAAACAAGAAAACAAAAGACCAGAGGAAAGUAUUGCUAGGGUGAAGAGGGAGCGCCUUGGCUCCUUUGCCACCAACCCAGCCCCAGUGAGAGUUUACCCCCUAACUUUGAGGGUGCCCUCCCAUCCCCAGAGCCCUUGGUUUUACGUCUAAGUACACUCCCCUUGCAGGGAAGCGCCAGCUCCGUGACCCUGGUUCUCUAAACAUUUUCCUUGCAGACUCCUAAAAGAAUUUUGAAAAUCUGUGUACCCCUUGCACAUUUUUAGGUGCAAACAUUUAAAUUGUUUUCAUAAGUUUAAAUAGUUACAUAGAGUCUACUUUCUGGUGUAUUGCAAAUAUUUGACAUUUUAAAAUAAAACUGUCACAGUACUCUGAAAAAUGUUUCUAAAUGUAAUGCUAUUGUGAUUGGAUACAACCAUCAUCCCUUUUAAAACUACAUGAACAAUUUGAACAAAUUUCAUUUCUUUUUUUCUCCUUGAACUUAUAUUUCUCUUCUACUUCCCGUACAGAAUUUUAGCAGAAUAUAUUUUUACGGUUCAAAGUCUUUUAUGUAUCACCCUUCACUCUAUCAUACUUCUUCCCAACAAAACUAUGUGUAUAAGACGAAUUUACUUUUAAAUUUUU
RNAcentral lists this long non-coding RNA (943 nucleotides) under Homo sapiens (human). RNAcentral's name for it is "HSALNT0302265". Lineage: Eukaryota; Metazoa; Chordata; Mammalia; Primates; Hominidae. The record is from RNAcentral.